RNAcentral lists this ribosomal RNA (427 nucleotides) under uncultured bacterium. Its description in RNAcentral is "partial 16S ribosomal RNA". It matches the Rfam family "Bacterial small subunit ribosomal RNA", at positions 355 to 774 of the family's 1533-position model. The record is from RNAcentral.
UGGGGAAUAUUGGACAAUGGGCGAAAGCCUGAUCCAGCCAUGCCGCGUGUGUGAAGAAGGUCUUCGGAUUGUAAAGCACUUUAAGUUGGGAGGAAGGGCAUUAACCUAAUACGUUAGUGUUUUGACGUUACCGACAGAAUAAGCACCGGCUAACUCUGUGCCAGCAGCCGCGGUAAUACAGAGGGUGCAAGCGUUAAUCGGAGUUACUGGGCGUAAAGCGCGCGUAGGUGGUUUGUUAAGUUGGAUGUGAAAUCCCCGGGCUCAACCUGGGAACUGCAUUCAAAACUGACUGACUAGAGUAUGGUAGAGGGUGGUGGAAUUUCCUGUGUAGCGGUGAAAUGCGUAGAUAUAGGAAGGAACACCAGUGGCGAAGGCGACCACCUGGACUAAUACUGACACUGAGGUGCGAAAGCGUGGGGAGCAAACA